This is a long non-coding RNA of Larimichthys crocea (large yellow croaker), 615 nucleotides long. RefSeq lists it as uncharacterized. The record is from RefSeq and is a predicted model, not a curated record. NCBI's taxonomy places the organism in Eukaryota, Metazoa, Chordata, Actinopteri, Sciaenidae. The transcript is spliced from 5 exons.
UGGGAGAGCUUCCUUUCCCCACAAUGCACCGCGGCAUGCUGCACUUUAUAAGAGUACGCGUGACUUCCGCUCAGCCUCUUGGUUCCUCGUGCAGCAUGAGUAGCAGACGGACGGUGGACGUGUUCGCACGCGACAUGCGGUGUCCUGUGUGGAACGUGUCCUGAAGAGCAGCAGCCAUGGAUGGAACAAUAAAACCCUGCCCUGUCUCUGGGCUGAAGGCAGAUUGUGAUGAGCUGCUGUGUGGAGCUGACUGUCAUGCUGCAGGCUGACUGACGGAGUGUGUGGAGCAGCCGGCCUGCAGGGGGCAGCAAACACCCACAAGAAGCCCAGACUGGCCCUGUGUUUAGUGUAAUCCAGGCUGGUCUGAAUAAGUGGAGAAGUUCCUGUUGGAGUCGUUGGCUGGGAUGUGACUGACCUGCUGCUGGUGAUCAGCACGCCAUGUUUCAGCAUGUCUGCUGAACCUGACUGAGGCUGUCAAUGGAAGCUGUUCUGAAGGAAUCGCCCACAUUUAACAUCUACAAGCAAUAUCAUCCUCCUAAAGGAAUACGUUCUGCUCUCUGAAUGAAUUCUGUUAAACAUGAACAAAAGUUGGAAUAAAAGUUUGAUCUGGCAGCA